Non-coding RNA from Cyanistes caeruleus (blue tit), 1844 nucleotides. NCBI's taxonomy places the organism in Eukaryota, Metazoa, Chordata, Aves, Passeriformes, Paridae. The record is from RefSeq and is a predicted model, not a curated record.
CAAAGAGAACUCAGAGAGCUCUGCUUUUACAUUUUAAGCACUGGUGUCAGUGAGCCUUGCCUGAAGCUGUGUUAUAUUGCAAGCAUGUUUGAGAUGAUUUGGGCUGCUGUUCUCUCUAGAUAACAUUGUCAGGGCUGAACAUGUUCAUCCCUAAAGAAGCUCAGAGGCCACUAUUUAAGGGUCAGCCAGAGAAACAGAAGCACAUGGAACCUGUAGAAGUUUCAAGGAGAACCCAGGUGCCAUCAGCUUCUGUCAUGACAGCACAGGAUGCAAGAUGGGGCCAGAAUAAUUUCAAGCUCCCUCUCGCUCCAUCAAGAAUCUACUAGGCUGACAUUUUCCAAGCUUGGAGUCUGCCCAGAAAGAGAAUUUUUUGGAAAGCUGAAGAAACUUUCCCUUCAGCUCAGCAGUGCAGUUUUAAUAAGGGUCCUUCACACAAGCCCAGUAAAACUUGACGCACUGGAACCAAAACCAACACACAUUUUGGUGCCUACUGCUGCAGUCAGGAUGCAGAGAGGGGACAAAAGAAUUAUUCAGCCUGAAUAAGGCCAUUGGACCUAGCAGGCUAAGUUCUUCCAUGCUGUAAGCCCUUGCAAUGUCCCCAAAGCCAAUGGGAUUACACAGUUUUCCACCCAGGCUGAGUGAAGCCGGCUCUCUUCCUGUGAGUGAGCAGCUCAGACUUUUUCUCAUCAUUCUCCCUUUUAUUUAAAGAUUUGUUUUCUGUAGCUGGCAGGCUCUCUCUUUGAAGCCUUCAACCCAUAGAGCAUUCCCCUGUUGCAAGUUUAAAAUGCUUUUGUGCCACACAGGCUGCUGGUCCCUCUAUAUGGGGCUCCAUGAAUACUCCUUGCCCCCCUUCACCUCCUCCCUCCCACAUGCAAGUCUCAGCUAAGGUCUUGCCUCUCUAUUUCUCCAUCCCAACCAUUUCACAACUUCAGGCAGAAAGUUGGCUGUCUCUACAUCUGUAGUGCAGAAAAUGAAGUGUAAUUUUAGGAAGGAACAAAGGGGUUGGGGUGGAAGGUAGUGUAUAUGCUCCUUAGAAACCUACACAGAUCUAAAAUAAAGAUUGGAGGAAGAGGAACACCUUCCUCACAGAACAAGCCUUAGCUGCUCUGAGAGCUGUGUGAAAGCCAAGAGUCAUAAGUGAAAUGAGCAGUGAAGAAAAAGGACUUAAAAUGCAGGUCACAAGUGGUCUAGGCAGAAACAGGCAGAGCACCCAAACCCAGGGGUGCUCCAGGGAUUUCCUAGCGGAAUCAUAACCCUGUCCUGCAGACCUGUCCUAGCUGAGCUGGCCCUCAAAGCCCUGGCUCUGACAGUCUUCUCCUCAUCCAACUGCAGCCCACCUCUUCCCCUUUACCCCCCAGUGCUGCACAAAGCUGGCUGAAGAUAAACCCAAACCCUUACUGGGCUCACCACUGGAGAAGAGUCAGUACCAAGGAGAAGCAGAGCAGGAGCAUCUCUCAGCGCCAGCAGACUUUUGGGGAGGUGCUCUGUUGUAGUGGAGCAGAAAGAGAAGUGCUCUCCCUACCGCAGCUCAGUGCACCUGUGAGCACAGGAGAGCUUCUCCCAGACUGCAGCACUGGAAAGUACUGGAUUGACUGCAAGUUCUCAAAUCUGACAGGGUCUUGAAAGACAACCAAGAAGGCACUAUCAUAGGAGCAAGGGAAAUGUAACACUGAAAUAAUGCUAUCAGGAGGAAAACCCUGUGCAGGGAGAGUAUGACCCUCCCACAAAGAUUUGGGGGUGGGGGGUGGGUGUAAUUAAAAAGUAGUAGAGCUUUUGUUUCUACUCCCUUGCACCUUUUUCACAAUGAGCCAUGCUUCAAAAGAAGCAGUCCUUCUUCCCUCACA